RNAcentral lists this ribosomal RNA (251 nucleotides) under uncultured prokaryote. RNAcentral describes it as "partial 16S ribosomal RNA". It matches the Rfam family "Bacterial small subunit ribosomal RNA", at positions 525 to 775 of the family's 1533-position model. The record is from RNAcentral.
ACGGAGGGUGCGAGCGUUAAUCGGAAUCACUGGGCGUAAAGCGCACGUAGGCGGUGUCGUAAGUCGGAUGUGAAAGCCCUCGGCUCAACCGGGGAACUGCAUUCGAUACUGCGAUGCUUGAGUGCCGGAGAGGGUGGCGGAAUUCCAGGUGUAGGAGUGAAAUCCGUAGAUAUCUGGAGGAACACCAGUGGCGAAGGCGGCCACCUGGCCGGCAACUGACGCUGAGGUGCGAAAGCGUGGGGAUCAAACAG